Molecule: ribosomal RNA, 376 nt
Filed under: uncultured bacterium
Lineage: Bacteria
Description: bacterial SSU rRNA
Rfam family: Bacterial small subunit ribosomal RNA
Source: RNAcentral
AGUGAACGCUGGCGGCAUGCCUAACACAUGCAAGUCGAACGGUAACAGGCCCGCAAGGGUGCUGACGAGUGGCGGACGGGUGAGGAAUACAUCGGAAUUUGCCCAGUCGUGGGGGAUAACGUAGGGAAACUUACGCUAAUACCGCAUACGACCUAACGGUGAAAGCGGGGGACCUGCAAGGGCCUCGCGCGGAUGGAUAAGCCGAUGUCGGAUUAGCUAGUUGGCGGGGUAAGAGCCCACCAAGGCGACGAUCCGUAGCUGGUCUGAGAGGAUGAUCAGCCACACUGGGACUGAGACACGGCCCAGACUCCUACGGGAGGCAGCAGUGGGGAAUCUUGCGCAAUGGGCGAAAGCCUGACGCAGCGACGCCGCGUGA